UUCUGGCUGUCACAGCUCUUUUGCCUUUCCUUUUAGGAAGUCAAGGCAUAGAGCUGCAGUCCAGGCCAGUGGGCAAGGUGGUCCACUUGUGAUCUAUCCCGGCCGAGGCCGCUCAUGCGAGGUGCUGUCGCUGCCCUAAGCAUGAUCAAGGAACAGAGGAGGGCAGGUGUCUUCUGGGAUGCCUCCUGAGUCAAAUCAAGUUUUGAGGUACCCUGAGCAGGCUCGUAGCCACAGCUGGGAAGCGGCAGCACCGAAGCACACACAUCGAGAACAUCUCAACGCGCACGUCCGACUGAGGCUGGAUUUUGUCCGCUCGUCUUCCAAAAGCUAAGUGUCGGGGCGGCGGUCGGGAGAAGGGGAAAAGCCUUUAGUAUCACAGGGGGCAGUUUCACGUCAGCUUAGCUGAGAGGUCUGUAGUGGGACGGGCUCUUUGAAAUUAAAGAGAGAGGGUUUGUCCUCAGCCUCACGAGAGCCUUUGCCGGGCAGGGCAGUUCCGACCCAUCUGCACGUUCUCGUGGACUUUG
Molecule: long non-coding RNA, 524 nt
Organism: Melospiza melodia melodia
Lineage: Eukaryota; Metazoa; Chordata; Aves; Passeriformes; Passerellidae
Exons: 5
Source: RefSeq, a predicted model, not a curated record